Molecule: ribosomal RNA, 438 nt
Filed under: uncultured bacterium
Lineage: Bacteria
Description: SSU rRNA
Rfam family: Bacterial small subunit ribosomal RNA
Source: RNAcentral
AGAACGAACGCUGGCGGCAGGCUUAACACAUGCAAGUCGAGCGCCCUGCAAGGGGAGCGGCGGACGGGUGAGUAACACGUGGGAACAUGCCCUUUGGUUCGGAACAACUCAGGGAAACUUGAGCUAAUACCGAAUGUGCCGGUAACGGGAAAGAUUUAUCGCCAAGGGAUUGGCCCGCGUCCGAUUAGCUAGUUGGUGAGGUAAAGGCUCACCAAGGCUCCGAUCGGUAGCUGGUUUGAGAGAACGACCAGCCACACUGGGACUGAGACACGGCCCAGACUCCUACGGGAGGCAGCAGUGGGGAAUCUUGGACAUGGGGAACCUGAUCCAGCCAUGCCGCGUGAGUGGUGAAGGCCUUCGGGUUGUAAACUCUUUCGACGGGGACGAUAAUGACGGUACCGUAGAAGAAGCUCCGGCUAACUUCGUGCCAGCAGCCGC